Molecule: ribosomal RNA, 355 nt
Filed under: uncultured organism
Description: bacterial LSU rRNA
Rfam family: Bacterial large subunit ribosomal RNA
Source: RNAcentral
CUUCACUACAACUUUACAUUGAUUUUGAGCAACAAAUGUGUAGGAUAGUUGGGAGACUUUGAAGUAGUGUCGCCAGGCAUUAUGGAGUCAACGUUGAAAUACCAACCUUUUGUUGCUUAGAACCUAACCCCUAACGGGGGACAUUGUAUGGUGGGUAGUUUGACUGGGGUGGUCGCCUCCUAAAAUGUAACGGAGGCUCGCAAAGGUACCCUCAGUACGGUUGGUAAUCGUACGUAGAGCGCAUUAGUAGAAGGGUGCUUAACUGUGAGACAGACAAGUCGAGCAGAUGCGAAAGCAGGCUAAAGUGAUCCGGUGGUUCUGUAUGGAAGGGCCAUCGCUCAAAGGAUAAAAGGUA